RNAcentral lists this ribosomal RNA (365 nucleotides) under uncultured bacterium. Its description in RNAcentral is "bacterial SSU rRNA". It matches the Rfam family "Bacterial small subunit ribosomal RNA", at positions 28 to 419 of the family's 1533-position model. The record is from RNAcentral.
AACGAACGCUGGCGGCAUGCCUAACACAUGCAAGUCGAGCGCCCGUAGCAAUACGGGAGCGGCGCACGGGUGAGUAGCGCGUGGGAACCUGCCCAGAGGUUCGGGACAACCGCGGGAAACUGCGGCUGAUACCGGAUGAUGCCUGAGGGCCAAAGAUUUAUCGCCUUUGGAGGGGCCCGCGUCGGAUUAGGUAGUUGGUGAGGUAACGGCUCACCAAGCCUGUGAUCCGUAGCUGGUCUGAGAGGAUGAUCAGCCACACUGGGACUGAGACACGGCCCAGACUCCUACGGGAGGCAGCAGUGGGGAGUAUUGGACAAUGGGGGCAAGCCUGAUCCAGCCAUGCCGCGUGGGUGAAGAAGGCCUGG